RNAcentral lists this ribosomal RNA (422 nucleotides) under uncultured bacterium. Its description in RNAcentral is "bacterial SSU rRNA". It matches the Rfam family "Bacterial small subunit ribosomal RNA", at positions 361 to 776 of the family's 1533-position model. The record is from RNAcentral.
AUAUUGGACAAUGGGCGCAAGCCUGAUCCAGCCACGCCGCGUGAGUGAUGAAGGCCUUCGGGUCGUAAAGCUCUGUGGGGAGGGACGAACCGCCGGCGGUUAAUACCCGUCGGCAUGACGGUACCUCCUUAGCAAGCACCGGCUAACUUCGUGCCAGCAGCCGCGGUAAUACGAAGGGUGCAAACGUUGCUCGGAAUUAUUGGGCGUAAAGCGCACGUAGGCGGCUUAGCAAGUUGGAUGUGAAAGCCCUCGGCUCAACCAAGGAAGUGCAUCCAAAACUGCUGAGCUUGAGUACUUAAGAGGAUCGCGGAAUUCCCGGUGUAGAGGUGAAAUUCGUAGAUAUCGGGAGGAACACCAGUGGCGAAGGCGGCGAUCUGGGAAGAUACUGACGCUGAGGUGCGAAAGCGUGGGGAGCAAACAGG